RNAcentral lists this ribosomal RNA (445 nucleotides) under uncultured bacterium. RNAcentral describes it as "partial 16S ribosomal RNA". It matches the Rfam family "Bacterial small subunit ribosomal RNA", at positions 338 to 795 of the family's 1533-position model. The record is from RNAcentral.
CCUACGGGUGGCUGCAGUCGAGAAUCAUUCACAAUGGGGGAAACCCUGAUGGUGCGACGCCGCGUGGGGGAAUGAAGGUCUUCGAUUGUAAACCCCUGUCCUUUGGGAGCAAAUUAAAAAGAUAGUACCCCCAAAGGAAGAGACGGCCAACUUGAUGCCAGCCGCCGCGGUAAUACAGAGGUCUCAAGCGGUGUUCGGAAUCACUGGGGGUAAAGCGUGCGUAGGCUGUUUCGUAAGUCGUUUGUGAAAGGCGCGGGCUCAACCCGCGGACGGCACAUGAUACUGCGAGAAUAGAGUAAUGGAGGGGGAACCGGAAUUCUCGGUGGAGCAGUGAAAUGAGUAGAUAUCGAGAGGAACACUCGUGGCGAAGGCGGGUUCCUGGACAUUAACUGACGCUGAGGCACGAAGGCCAGGGGAGCGAAAGGGAUUAGAUACCCGGGUAGUC